RNAcentral lists this ribosomal RNA (254 nucleotides) under uncultured bacterium. Its description in RNAcentral is "partial 16S ribosomal RNA". It matches the Rfam family "Bacterial small subunit ribosomal RNA", at positions 524 to 776 of the family's 1533-position model. The record is from RNAcentral.
UACGGGGGGAGCAAGCGUUGUUCGGAUUUACUGGGCGUAAAGGGCGCGUAGGCGGUCAGCACAAGUCAGUUGUGAAAUCUCCGGGCUUAACUCCGGAACUGCCAUUGAGACUGUAAGACUUGAGGAUGAGAGAGGUGAGUGGAAUUCCCAGUGUAGAGGUGAAAUUCGUAGAUAUUCGGAAGAACACCAGUGGCGAAGGCGACUUACUGGACACAUAUUGACGCUGAGGUGCGAAAGCGUGGGGAGCAAACAGG